Long non-coding RNA from Neopsephotus bourkii (Bourke's parrot), 5941 nucleotides. RefSeq lists it as uncharacterized. The transcript has 4 exons. The record is from RefSeq and is a predicted model, not a curated record. NCBI's taxonomy places the organism in Eukaryota, Metazoa, Chordata, Aves, Psittaciformes, Psittacidae.
GGAGCCCGGCAGGCAGCGGGUCGGCACGUUCCCCGAAGGCGGCUGAGAGGGGCGUGGGACGGAGCCGGUGCCCGCCAGGCUGUGGAUGCUGUGCGGCCACACGGGCUUCCGGGGCCGGGGGGUACGGGCUCCUCAGCGGAUGGGCCCGCCCGCCGCUUCCCCUUCCCCCGCUGGCCCAGCGCCCCGCGGCGGGGGAUCGCUGCCAGGGGAGCGCUGGUCUCCUCCUUUCCGUCCCGCCCAGAAGGGCCUGAGCUCCGCGGAGCCGGAUUUCUCCCGCGUCACGACACGGAAAGAUCGGGGCAGGAGGCGGCUCGGAAGGGGAAUCUGCCGCCAGCUCCGACACUUCGUCCCUGCCCCUCCGUCUUCCCCACCGGCCUUCACCCAGCGCCGAGGCGCGGAAGCUGGGCUGGGUGUAACAGGCCCGGUGCCCGGGUAAGAAGUGAAGUUCACUGCCGGCUGGAGAGGACACCUGCCCAUGGCAACCACUCUUUAUUCCCACGAAACGUAGCCCUGCCGGCGUUGUCCCCAGCUACAUCCUUAGCCUUAGAGAAAGCAGCAAGUACAAAGUAAUACCCUGUUCUUGGCUGGCGUGCUGUGCCUCGGCUGAGUGACCGUCGGCAGGCGUCUGAGCAGGUGCUGCGGCUGGCCAGGAGCGAGGCAGUCAUCCGGUUCACUUCGUGGUGUCCAGCCAGUUGUUGGUAGGUUGCGCUCUAUGAAAGACCCGGUGCAGCUGUUCUGUUGAUUCUCCUAAGAAAUAAGAGCCUGGUUUUAAAAAAUAAAGGUCCAGCUCAGAAGAUACAUGUGAAACAUCAUAGUGAGUCUUCCCCUCUUCCUUACAAUGGACACUCAGUCCUUGAAAGGGCCUCUCUGAAGUCCUAAUUAUCUCAGUAAUCGUACUUAAGUGCCACCUGCCCUGGGCAAAUGCACAGUGUCGCCACUGUAAAUCACAGCCAAUUCCAUACACCAGUUAACAUGCAGUUUUGGCUCCCGCCUUCUCCAGCAAGUAAUCUUAGAAAUUGAAUGGUCACCAUUCCUAUACAAAUAGGAGGCUUCUUACUGAAAACAGAAGUAGAGAAAGUUGGCAGUUCUCACAUCCAGAAAACUUACUAACUUCUUCCAUACUGCUGCUUCAUGACCCAGUUAGAAGAAUCAAAACCAUGAGGGUUUUGAGAAUUUCAGGAGUCUUACAUUAACUUGUUUUCCUUGACUCAGCUUUUUUAUCCUCAUGAAUUGCUUAAAACCCAUUGCAGCAGUUAGAAGCCAGAUCAGUCAGUACUUUCAGUGAUGAUUUUUAUGCAGCUGUCUGCACAGAAAGAGAGGGAGCCAAGUGUAAAACACAUAAUUUCUGCUGACCAAGAUCAGCAGCAGGAUACAAGGAAAGAGACAAUUUCUUCUGGAACAACCCAACAGGAAAGUCAGGCAUCUCCACUAAAGCGAAUUGGAUGGGUAUGCUGGGUUUCCUCCCUCUUAUUUUGGUGCUGUUACUGGUGAAUAACUAGGAUUUUGCAUUGGUCACUUUUCUGAAGAAACAGAUGUCUGUUACCUUAAGCAUAGAAAUGGAGAGAAGAAAGGGCUAUGUGGUACUCUUGCCGGUUCACUACACUCAGAGGGCUAGGAGCUUUUGAGUCUUAAGAUAGUGGGCUCUGAUUUAUGCUAUGCUAGGUAAACUAGUUAUGAACUGGCAGAGCCCUAAUGUCUAAGUACUAGUCCAGUAUAACCUGUCCCCAUCAAGUCAUGCAUGCAGGUGUGUAUGUAUGUAUUCUGAAGGGGGAAGGCAAGAGUACUGCACAAGAACCUGCCCUCCAACUGUACAGAAGAUGGGCAUUCCUCUCUCCUCUGCUGGAGAAAUCAAGGAAUUUAAACACGAUAUGACCUUGUUGCUAAACAGUCACUGCCAGAGAACACAAAAUUGGGCUGAUCUGCAAGGAAUCUGGGAGCUACACAACUGUGCUAUAUUAGAGCUGACUUUGAGCUAAAACAACUAAACACCUGGCAGGGUGUAUUUGGGGGCAGAAAGGUUGCAAAGCCUGUUGGAACACUUAGGGCUCUGACACUCAUUUCCUUCUCUUUCAAUCAGCCUGUUUGGAUUUUACUGUGUUUGCUGUGACCUUGCUUUGAAACCAGUUUGGAGUGGUUCUGUAGGGUCUGGAGUGGAGUCAGUUCUGUACUGUUUACCUGAGCAGGACCACCAUUCACUUUAGUGAGAGCAGUGCUUGAAGAAGGGCUGAUAUAUUUAUUAGCUAAAAAUUGAAAUGUGUGUUUGAGGCCAAGAAAUGCAUUUAAUUAAUUAUGCUUACAAAAUUGCGGAUCAGUCAGGCAUAAAAUGAGGUAGAAUUCCAUGCUCUUUUUCCCAAGGCACUGCUUGUUCUACAAAGUCUGGUUUUGCUUUCAAGAAUAUUUGUAGAUGUGCUUUUACAGAUUGUUGAAGUUUCAACUCAUUUUAACUUGAUGAUUCUUUUUUCCCCAGCUUUUGUUGCUGAGCACAGCAUCAUAUGGUAUGGGGUAUCCCUUCGGUCAGUUGUGGUCAGCUGUCCCAGCUGGGUGUCCUACCAAAUUCUUGUGUGUCCCUAGCCCUUUUGCUUGUGAGGCAGAAACAGAAAAGGCCUUGACUUUGUGUAAGCACCGCUCAGCAAUAACAAAAACAUCCCUGUGUUAUCAACACUCGUUUGGUCACAAAUCCAAAACACGGCACUAUACCUGCUGCUGUGGAGAAAAGAAACUCCCAGCCAAAGCCAGUACACCAUGGAUUUCAGAUGUCCACUAAUAAUACUACAAGUGCUAACGCUGGUAACCAAGUUAUCUCCUAAAGGAAACUAGAAUAAUCUAUCCAUAUGUCAGUACCCAGGAUAAUGGAACACAAGAGAGCACACUGUCACUUCUUUCUCACAAUCAAAAUGGAAAAAAAAAGAGCUACCAUUAGCCUAAAAGAAGCCUCCCAGCAAUCUGAUUAUUACGAGAGUGAAGCAGUAUGGUUGAGUUCAGUUAAUGCCAUGAAUAUAUUUAAACUGCUCAGAGAGAAAGUUAAGCCAGUUAGGGGAAUCUGGCAGAGCUUAUGUUGACCCUUUUCUGAAUACUUGCAAAAUCUGCUUUUAGUGAGCUGAAAUUGACUUUUGUAUGGGGCAGGACUUAAUUUUUAGAAACUACUGCUCUGCCCUGCUUACUUCCUCUCAUUCCUUUCCCAGAAAGAUGAUGUAUCUAUCUCAUGAGAAUGAAGUGGCUAACAGACAUAAAGCCAUGUACUUCUGGGGUAAGCAGCAGCUGAGCUAUUUUAGGGAAUGUACAGACCAACAGGAUGAGUGGUUUUAACUUAAAACCAGUGUAGUCCUUUCUGUUUCUGUAUUGGGGUAUCAAGUAUUUCAUCACACUGCUAACAACAGAACAAGGGGGUUUGCUUGUUGGGUUGGGUUUUGCAUUGUAUUUUAUUAGGUUUUUAAAUAAUUUGUCUUUUUCAAUUGAUAUCUUUUUUCUUCCUGUGAGAUUAAAUUCAAUAAGCUAAGCCAGGUUUAUCCUUUCAGCCAGUGUUCUAUUGUCCCAUCUCACAAAUCCACAGUGAUGGAGACAUUUCAGGGAACCAUGAAGAACAUAGAAAGGAAAGUUUCUGAUGCAGAGCUCUUCCUUUGUCUCUUGGGAGCAUGCCUGUCACCCAGGGGCUAGUCUCAAAGAGUAAACGUAAAAAAUUCAUGAAGGUCCUAAGUUAUGAAGUUGAGAUUCCGCAAUUUCUACUGAAAUGCAAGUUUCCUUAAAGCCUUCUGUUUUUCAAGAUCAGUAUUCCUCUCACUCAUCGCCAUCACUCUUCCAGUGAUUUGAUCAUUAUGUAUGCAUUACCACAGUCAUGCUUUUGAAAGAACAUGAACUGAAAAGAGAAUUCAUUAAUUUAAAGACUGGUGGCUACAUUCUGUUGCCAUGAUCACAUGUAUUUGAGUAGGCUCUUCCCUGGGGCUGCUUGUAGGGCACAGCAUUCUACAACCUGAGCAGGGGCACCAGGAUCCGGUACUGUAGUUCUAACUGUUAGUUUGUUUGAAAAAUGCUGGCAACAUUUUUACAGUGACCAUGUAUCAAUAUGAAUACAGCUUUGGUGUAAAGGGACAAGGAAUGCUGCCAAAGUGAGGAGACAGAGAGCUUUUUAUAGAGAUGGCCUGUUAUCUGCAGGCUAACACAAAAGAGGAUUGUAUUCCAUUUAUGUAGUGGAUGAGCCUGCUUCUACACAUUGCACCUUGAGUUUCCCUUCUGGGGGUCUUGACUAAUAACAUCAAGGUUAGCAUUGUGGGUAGAAUGAAGGGCAUCCACCCUGAAGACCACUGAGAAGGGGGUAUACCAUAGGAGCAAGUAAGACAGUCCUUCAGCCUGCAUCAGUGGCCAGUUACAGCAAGGGCAGGUAGGAGGAAAAAAAAAUUACAAAGCCUGAAGCAAGAAGCAGGAAAGAAUCCAGGGGCUAUAAAGGAUGCCCCCAGAAAUCAUUCUCCCCUGUCUUUCCACAUCUUUCCCCCAGAAGAAUGUGAAUUUUUAUGCCUACAGAAAUGCCUGACUUAGGAAGAGUGAAUAAGCUUUCCAUUGUAUCUCUGUUCUUCCAUUCUUCCCCCGCAUAACAAAGCUAUUACUUUCCUCACUUGGCAUUACACAAAAUGGCUAUUCAUCACUCUUUUGUAUUACUCACCUUGAUUCUAACUAUGUUUGUGCAUUAUUGGUAGAUACAAUGGCAAGGACUCUCUUUUCCUGCUCAGAAAAUCCUUUUACAUUUUGGCAAUUGCUGGAAAUCAAAGUUAAUAAUAAUGAAUGGGGGCUUAUUGGCUGAGACAUUUAGAUGUCAUCUUUUGCAGUUUAUGUCCCACAGAGCAACUACAAAAAUUGGAGAAUAUAGGCAAGGGAUUACUUCUUCAAGAACAUUUGCCAGCUUGCUGUGUGGUUGUAUUAGAGGUAAUCCAGCAAAGUUCUUUCAUAUUUUAUCUGAUUUCAGUACUGUAGGCAUUGCAAUCAUACUUGCAAAGAAUGUGAAGUAAAAUUGGGAUCUAAUGAGAAAGAGGAUUCAAAUCCUUCAACUUCCUAAGUCUCAGAUAGGCAAUCUCAAAAUUUAAAAUGAAUCCUCAUUUUAUUUACCCUGUUGAUGGCACUGUUGUUUGGAACCUUUGAACAAUAUAGUGAAAAUCAUGCAUCUGAGCAUUAUUCAAGGAAAUAUUAUCUACCUAUGGUUUCUGAUGAAACUUGUUUCUUCAUUUUUUGCCUUACAUACAUUUCAUGCUAAUUUGAGAUCUCCCAUUUCUGAGGAAUUCCUACUUUAGCUGUACCAGAGUAUUGCUUGUUCAUCUAAUUGGAAUUAAUUUGGAUUGACUACUUGUAUAAAAACAAGUAUAACUCCUCUAAAUUUCCAGCCUUUUACUUAAGAAUCUAAUAAUCACGGGUAAUGUUGAUAUUCAAAGAUACAUUAAAAUAUUGAUAAUCUAAAGGCAGACAUAGUUGGGAGUGAGUUUGUUUAUUUGGUGGUUGGUUAGGGGUUUUUUUGCAGGCAGCACUGUGGCUUGGCUAGAGCCUUAGUAAGGGGACUGUAAGAGUGGUGCUAGAGCAACUACAUGGUGGGGCAGGGGAUGUUUUAACCCCAAAAAGGGGAAAGUUCCCUUUGUAAAAAACUAAGGUUUACAGGGUGGAAGGCAGGGGAGUGUUUAAAAGCACUUUCCCUCUUUGUCUGUGAAAAAAGAGGCCAGCAGUUGGGCUGUUUAAAAGCAUUUUCACACUUCCUGCAUGUGGUAAGCUGGCCUACAUUUCUCAGAGGCAGGAGAAUGUGUGAAACUGUUAGCAAAUAGCUUGGCUGCCUGCACGAUUGGAGAGCAGAGGGCCUGUUUGAAAUCCUGCCAUGUGAGUUUGUUACGGCUCUAACUGUGGCUUGGAACAGAAGUCUGAUGCAGAAAUCAUUGAAUUGAGUCUGUUUGGUCUGUGUUAUAUAGAAAUA